Molecule: RNA transcript, 2655 nt
Organism: Pangasianodon hypophthalmus (striped catfish)
Lineage: Eukaryota; Metazoa; Chordata; Actinopteri; Siluriformes; Pangasiidae
Gene: nxf1a
Gene name: nuclear RNA export factor 1a
Exons: 22
Source: RefSeq, a predicted model, not a curated record
UACUCUUGUGCCUGUGACGUCAGUGUGUAAGGUUAGAUCGCUCCCAUUAGAAACCAACUCCAAUUAAACAAGAUGCUUCCCCUCAGAAGGCAGUACCAUCUCGCUGUGGUCAAACACGUUCGCUCAGAAGGUUUCAGUGAAGUCCCUGCUGGAAGAGAAGUCUGGAUCAAUGGCAGCUUUUCGGAGCAUGAUGACCGAGUGGGCGGCCCUCAGUUCCGUAACCGUAAAAGUCGUGGGCCACCCAGGGGACGUGUGUACAGUGAGCAUGUACAUCAGAGACCGCGAGGGGGUCCCACAGGAGGCUUCGGCCCUGGUUCCUUGGCCAGGUUUGUGGAUGAAGACGGAGAUGUCAACAUGAACGAUGGCCAGGAUGGGGCUUUCCAGGGGAGAUUCAACCCGUAUGGCCGGGCCAACCGACGAGGGGAUGGCCGAAUUGCUCGAGACAGAAGAGGAGCCGUCGGGAGAUACAGGCCAGGAGGAGGAAAUCAGUUAUCAGGCAACGCAGAAAGACAAGGUGGUGCACCAAUCUCAGGAAAAUCCAAAACUUGGUACAAAAUAACGAUCCCUUAUGGCAAGAAAUAUGAUAAGAGAUGGCUUUUGAAUGCUCUGCAGAAUCUCUGCCCCAUACCUUUUACUCCAGUACAUUAUUCCACGGAGGGGCAGAAAGUGCAGUUCUACGUAGAGGACGACAACACUGCCAGUGCCUUGCGCAAUAUCUCCCGCAGGAUCACAGAUAAUGAAGGAUAUAAGGUGGUUGUGAUUAUAAACCCCUGUUCUCCACCAUCCUUCCUUCGGAGUGACCUGAAAGACCAGGACCUUGAACACUUAAAGCAAUGCAUGUCCAAGCGAUUUGAUUCCUCAGAGCAAUUUCUUGACCUGAACAGCAUUCGCAGUGAUCAAGAUUUGAUCUCCCAGAACAUCGAUGUAAUUUUGAGCAGGAAGAGCUGCAUGGAAGCUGUGAUAAAGAUCAUUAAAGAGAAUAUCCCACAACUGACUGCUCUAAACCUAAGCAAUAACAAGCUCUACAAGCUGGAUGACCUUACAGAGCUGGUGAGCAUAGCUCCAAACCUAAGGACUCUCAAUCUGUCGCAUAACGAGCUGAAGUCUGAGCGGGAGCUGGACAAGCUGAAGAGCUUGAAGCUAACAGAGCUGUGGCUGGAUCGCAAUCCUCUGUGUGAUCACUUUACAGACCAGGCAACAUAUAUCAGUGCUAUUCGUGGACGAUUCCCCAGACUUAUCAAACUGGACGGCCACAGUCUUCCUGCACCAAUAGGUUUUGAUGUUGAAACCCGCACUGCUGUUCCAUCUUGUAAGGGCAGCUACUUUGUUUCAGGGGAAGUCAAGGAAUUCAUUCUGCGUUUUCUGCAUCAAUUCUACAGCGUGUAUGACUCGGGAAACAGACAGCCUCUGCUAGACGCAUAUCAUGAUGGGGCCUGCUUCUCCCUCAGCCUUCCCUCCAUGCACAACCUCUCCAAGUCUAACUUGGGAGAAUAUCAAAAUCACAAUCGCAACAUUAAGAGAAUCAAAGACCCAGUGACGCGGUUCCGGGUAUUGAAGCACACUCGACUGAACGUAGUUGCCUUCCUGAAUGAAUUGCCCAAAACCCAGCAUGACUUAGCCUCUUUCAAUGUGGAUGUAAACACAUGCACACAAACGUUACUGGUGUUUACAGUCAGUGGGGUGUUUAAGGACAUUGACGUCAAGUCAAAAGAAUCUACUCGUGCCUUCUCCCGGGUCUUUGUUGCAGUUCCAGCCAUGAAUAAUGGGCUAUGUUUAGUCAAUGAUGCGCUAUUUAUGAGGAACGCUACCACUGAAGAGAUCCGCCGUGCGUUUGCCACACCCGCCCCGACCCCAUCCAGCAGCCCCGUGUCCACCCACUCUCCCACCCAACAGGAGAUGAUCUCCACCUUCUCCCAAAAGUCUCAGAUGAAUCUCGAGUGGUCCCAAAAGUGAGUGGAGAACUUUGACUAUGUAAAGGUGGCUACAACAGAAUGAAUGGGACUUCAACCGAGCUGUUCAGCUCUUUACAGAACUCAAGGCUCAGGGCUCCAUAUCAGAGGUGGCGUUCACAUAGUGAAGAUGGAUCAGAAUAGUCCUGUGUUUAGCAAAUCAAACUGCUGUAUAAAAGUAAAAAGGAAAGUUGUUUUUUUAAUUUUUUUUUUUAAAUGAUUAUUUUAUAUUGUUUGGUGUUUUCUGUGUUUCUUGAUGUUAUUAUAGCUCAGGCUGGACUGAGAAUUAAACACUAAGAGCAAUUCUGUUAUUCCGUUACCAUGUUUUAAUUAUUUUUAUUUGUGUUCAGGACAGCGCUUGUUAGAUACAGCAUUAAAACAGCAAUAAAAAUCUGUUGUUACUGUACAUCCUUUUAAAAAGUGUUUUGAAAAAAAUUUGCUGCCAAAUUAUUUCCUGUUUUCUGGUUUUGUACUCUGAAGUACCAAGAGAGUACAGAGGAGUGGAGCUCUCUCAACUUUGGUUUAUGUAAACAACAAAGAUAACUCAACUCUGGUACUGUAAUUUAAUGGAAAUGUAAAUCAUAGCGUGGCAUAAUGGUGAUGAUAAUAAUAAUGUGAUACAGUUUCACACUGCUUUAUUUAUUUCUUAUUUCAGUCAAGGAAUUUGUUACCUGUUGUGUAUAUACAAUUAAAAAUUAGAGCAAAA